Molecule: unclassified non-coding RNA, 253 nt
Filed under: uncultured Alphaproteobacteria bacterium
Lineage: Bacteria; Pseudomonadati; Pseudomonadota; Alphaproteobacteria
Description: contains 16S-23S intergenic spacer region
Rfam family: Bacterial small subunit ribosomal RNA
Source: RNAcentral
UACGUAGGGGGUGAGCGUUGUUCGGAAUUACUGGGCGUAAAGCGCACGUAGGCGGACUGUUAAGUCAGGGGUGAAAUCCCGGGGCUCAACCCCGGAACUGCACUUGAUACUGGUAGUCUUGAGUUCGAGAGAGGUGAGUGGAAUUCCGAGUGUAGAGGUGAAAUUCGUAGAUAUUGGGAGGAACACCAGUGGCGAAGGCGGUUCACUGGCUCGAUACUGACGCUGAGGUGCGAAAGCGUGGGGAGCAAACAGG